UGGGGAAUUUUGGACAAUGGGCGAAAGCCUGAUGCAGCAAUGCCGCGUGUGUGAAGAAGGCCUGCGGGUUGUAAAGCACUUUCGGUAGGGAAGAUAAUGACGGUACCUACAGAAGAAGCACCGGCUAACUCCGUGCCAGCAGCCGCGGUAAUACGGAGGGUGCGAGCGUUAAUCGGAAUUACUGGGCGUAAAGGGCGCGUAGGCGGCUUGACAAGUCACUUGUGAAAUCUCUGGGCUUAACCCAGAACGGCCAAGUGAAACUGUCAUGCUAGAGUGCAGAAGGGGCAAUCGGAAUUCUUGGUGUAGCGGUGAAAUGCGUAGAUAUCAAGAGGAACACCUGAGGUGAAGACGGGUUGCUGGGCUGACACUGACGCUGAGGCGCGAAAGCCAGGGGAGCAAACGGGAUUAGAUACCCAAGUAGUCCCUGAGCGGGCUGGCAAGGCGCAU
This 447-nucleotide ribosomal RNA is filed under the name uncultured bacterium. Its description in RNAcentral is "bacterial SSU rRNA". It matches the Rfam family "Bacterial small subunit ribosomal RNA", at positions 355 to 825 of the family's 1533-position model. The record is from RNAcentral.